Molecule: ribosomal RNA, 253 nt
Filed under: uncultured bacterium
Lineage: Bacteria
Description: partial 16S ribosomal RNA
Rfam family: Bacterial small subunit ribosomal RNA
Source: RNAcentral
UACAGAGGUCCCAAGCGUUGUUCGGAUUCAUUGGGCGUAAAGGGUGCGUAGGCGGCGCGGUAGGUCGGGUGUGAAAUCUCGGGGCUUAACUCCGAAACUGCAUUCGAUACUGCCGUGCUUGAGGACUGGAGAGGAGACUGGAAUUUACGGUGUAGCGGUGAAAUGCGUAGAUAUCGCUUGGAACGCCAAUGGUGAAAACAGCAGGCUGGGGGUGUGCUGACGCUGAGACGCGAAAGCCAGGGGAGCAAACGGG